This 313-nucleotide ribosomal RNA is filed under the name uncultured Treponema sp. RNAcentral describes it as "bacterial SSU rRNA". It matches the Rfam family "Bacterial small subunit ribosomal RNA", at positions 355 to 659 of the family's 1533-position model. Lineage: Bacteria; Pseudomonadati; Spirochaetota; Spirochaetia; Treponematales; Treponemataceae. The record is from RNAcentral.
CUAAGAAUAUUCCGCAAUGGACGAAAGUCUGACGGAGCGACGCCGCGUGGAUGAUGAAGGCCGGAAGGUUGUAAAAUCCUUUUAUGACUGAGGAAUAAGUGAAGUGAGGGAAACGCUUCAUGGUGACUGUAGGUCAUGAAUAAGCAACGGCUAAUUACGUGCCAGCAGCCGCGGUAACACGUAAGUUGCGAGCGUUGUUCGGAAUUAUUGGGCGUAAAGGGCAUGUAGGCGGUUUUGCAAGCUUGGUGUGAAAUGCCGGAGCUUAACUCCGGAAUUGCGUUGAGAACUGCAUAACUAGAGUCACUGAGGGGCA